Molecule: long non-coding RNA, 388 nt
Organism: Hordeum vulgare subsp. vulgare (domesticated barley)
Lineage: Eukaryota; Viridiplantae; Streptophyta; Magnoliopsida; Poales; Poaceae
Exons: 2
Source: RefSeq, a predicted model, not a curated record
UCUCUGUGGUGGCAUCUUGCUCGCCGUCAUUGUCUUCCAUCAGAAUCCUGCGAGGUUUAUACUGCUUCUUCACCUGUAUGGCACCAUCACCGAUUUGUUUACACAGAAUAUUGGAAAUGGUGAGCGGUGUUUUAUCUGUACGUAUGCAGGAGAUGUAUUUUCGGGACACAUCGAGGUACUUUUUUUUGGGUAUGUAGUUCUCUGAAUGGGUGAACAUCACCUAUUCACAAUGAUAUCCCUCCUUUAGCACAUGUGCACCAUUGAUUAUCAUAGUGAUUUAUUUGACAUUCGCCAUAUUUCUCGCACAUAUCCACUAUGAGUUAUGGUGUAGCUGUUCUUUUUUCUGUAAAGGAUAAGUUUGGGUGUAGUUGAUGAGUGUGGAAGUAUA